This 1146-nucleotide small RNA is filed under the name Oryza sativa Japonica Group (Japanese rice). Its description in RNAcentral is "sRNA Os10g0564050". The record is from RNAcentral. Lineage: Eukaryota; Viridiplantae; Streptophyta; Magnoliopsida; Poales; Poaceae.
UUGCUGGCUCAGUACAAGGAUGGCCCAGGGAUGGAUACAGGGCGGCAACAAGCCUAUCGACUAACUGCUUAGUACCGGUAAGAUGACCCAUAUCCACCGAGACCUGAAGACGAAUAUCCACCCCCAUCCAUGCUAGAAUACGAUGGCAAUGACGACGACGGAUAGGUCGAGCUGCCAUACUGUGAAUAGCUUGGCCUAUAUACUGGAUCUAAUCCUGCAUAGCUGCUCCUGACAGAAUCCCUAUUAUAUAUAUGCCAUGGUAUUACCUGGAUGAGUUGAUAGGCAGCUUGUACUUGUGAUGAUGUCCCCUUCAUUUCAACAGUAAUAUCGUCAGGGCUCCCCAAACUCUCUUGAAUUGUGACGACUGCACCACUGUUAGCUCGUAUGUAUGCAAUAUUUGCUCCUUUCACUCCAAUUAUGUCUUCAGCGUAGGUAAGGGGAAUUUGCAUUGUUUGAGUUAUCUGCGUGCCACGUGUCCACCACCAUGUAUUCCAGAGGUUCGUAAUGUUGACAAGGCAGGAUCCCGCCCAUAAAGCGAAACACCUGAGCGAUGAAUAUUGUGGUCUAUCAAUGGUUCCCGUUCGAGAAACAGAGGGUCUCUCUUCAUUGGAAGAAUAUAUUCAUCAACCACAGGAGGUGGUUGGUUUAUUUGUGCAGAAACAAUUGAAGGAUGUGAUAUAUCAGUCCAAGCAUCAGUGCUGCGAUCUUGAAUAAAUGUGCUUACAGUCUUCUCAAACAAUGGAAGUACACUAUGGUCAACCAAAAACUUCCGGAGAUGAUUAGAAACUGCUUGAAGUGCUUUUAGGACUUUCUCUGUUUCCCCCUGGAUCUCAACUAUCCUUUCAUCUUCAAUUACAUAGAAAGAGUACAUUACCUAUUGAUAUAACCCGUAUUGUAGCACCAGUGCCCUCUUGGAUGGCCUUAAUUGAAGCACCUUGCUUCCCAAUUAGGUUAAUUGCCUGAGCUCCAGGAACCAACAAACGGGCAGCACAUACACCAGGUGCAGUAGCUGCCUGUGUGCCCUCAGCAGCUCCAUCUGUUAUACCACUGACACGCUUAAAAACUCUCAUGAGAGCAUCCAUAGCUGGAGGAAGCUCCAAGGCUGGGUCUUCUUUCCCAGACACAAGAACCUAUAACCAAGAGGCG